Molecule: transfer RNA, 84 nt
Filed under: Acidimicrobiia bacterium
Lineage: Bacteria; Bacillati; Actinomycetota; Acidimicrobiia
Description: tRNA-Leu
Rfam family: tRNA
About the family: Transfer RNA (tRNA) molecules are approximately 80 nucleotides in length.
Source: RNAcentral
GGGCGAGUGGCGGAAUUGGCAGACGCGCAGGCUUCAGGUGCCUGUGAGCUCAGGCUCGUGGGGGUUCAAGUCCCCCCUCGCCCA